RNAcentral lists this unclassified non-coding RNA (960 nucleotides) under Hevea brasiliensis (rubber tree). Lineage: Eukaryota; Viridiplantae; Streptophyta; Magnoliopsida; Malpighiales; Euphorbiaceae. The record is from RNAcentral.
CCGUAACAUGACUGAUCCUGAGACCGAGAAGGAUCGCCAAUUGCAGGUUGAUGUAAUAGAAUUCUUGUCUCAAUCCAAGCACUGGCAGAGGUCUGGAGGCAGAGACCAUGUGAUUCCCAUGACACAUCCUAAUGCCUUUAGAUUUCUCCGACAACAGUUGAAUGCGUCUAUUCUUAUUGUUGCAGAUUUUGGCCGCUAUCCUAAAUCCAUGUCAACUCUGUGGAAAGAUGUGGUGGCCCCAUAUGUACAUGUUGUUGACUUUUUUACAGAUGAUGAAAUUUCAGAUCCAUUUGAAUCUCGAACCACACUUCUUUUCUUCCGCGGGGGUAUGGUUAGGAAAGAUGAAGGCAAAGUCCGAGCUGAACUGGCAAAGAUAUUAGCUGGUUAUGAUGAUGUUCAUUUUGAGCAAAGCACACCAACACCACGGACAAUAAAAAUGUCAACGCAAGGAAUGCGUUCAUCAAAGUUCUGUCUACAUCCUGCAGGAGACACUCCAUCUUCUUGUCGUCUUUUUGAUGCUAUUGUAAGCCAUUGUGUUCCUGUCAUUGUUAGUGAUCAAAUUGAGCUCCCUUUUGAGGAUGAAAUUGAUUAUAGCCAAUUCUCAAUUUUCUUCUCUGUAAAUGAGGCAAUUCAACCUGGAUACAUGGUUGAUCAACUACGGCAAUUUUCAAAGGAGAGAUGGGUUAAAAUGUGGAGACAGCUUAAGAACAUCUCCCAUCACUUCGAAUUCCAGUACCCACCUAAGAAGGAGGACGCAGUUGACAUGCUGUGGAGACAGGUAAAGCAUAAGCUUCCUAGCGUCCAACUUUCUGUACAUAGAAGCGGGAGAUUGAAGGUUCCAGACUGGUGGCAGAGGACAAGAUGAUUCUGAAGCUUCCUUAUGUAUUGUACAUUCAUGAUUUUUUCCAACACUUAUAACAAAAACCCUUUCGCUGGAAUUAUCGGACUUGCAAACACCAC